ACAGAUUCUCCUGGCAAACCCUUUAAGUUUGCUUCCAAGUCCAGUCUGCAUGAUUAUAGGCAGCGAUCACCAUCAACUAGUUAAGAGUGCAGCAGAUUCACAAUGAAUGCAAUGUUAUUUUUGGAUAGGGAGAGGUGAAUGGAUGGCCAGGGAGCAGAGGCAGGGAGAGAUUUUUUUUCUUUCUUUCAUUCUCCAGGGCAUUAAUGAUGAUGAAAAUGCAAAUGAGAAAGCAUUUAAUGCUGAGAGGGAAAGCCUAGAGGAGAUUUUACAUUUUGGAGACAGACCCGGAACACUGCCGCAUAUCAUUGUUUCUCUGACAGUGGGGAAACUGGAUAAAAGGAUUCUCCCAGUCCCUGCCAUUGGCAUUUUCUUUUCUUUUUUUGGUAGCACAAUGUCUCAUUGGAAAUGGAGUUCAUGCUUAAGGGAAAUGAGUCUUAAUAAAGGAAGACAAUGUCCCUAAGCAGAUGUGAGAAGGGUCAUCUCAACCUGCUCUGAACCUAUGGGGCAGUGUGACACCUAACGCAACUUCUAAUUAAAAAGUGUGUGAACUGACUCAUUGACCUGCCGCUUGCUUGUGAGAAAGCUUGCAGCUAUACAAUGGGGGAACAAUCCUUGUCUCCAAUAGUCUGUUCAACUUUAACAGCUGACGCACCAGGAAGCAGAACAGAACAGAACAUUGGCACCUGAGCUGCCUUUAUCUAAGCCAGCCUUCGCCAACAUGGUUGGCACUAAGGUCUGCUGCCCUCUGAAACGAAACCAUGUGUCCACCACACUUGCACAAGGAAUUCUAGGAAAGCCAGCAAAAGCCACUCACUAUCUAAAGAGCUGGACCAGGUUGCAGCAAAAUUCAGUGCAAGUUCCACCUCUAUAAGUUCCUCCCAGUUGCGGUUUCCCAUAUGUAUAGAAUUAGAUUAUCAGUGAAUCUGAUUAAAACUGCGAGGUGUCGUGUAAAUUAUAAAUGCUUUCUACAUAUCAUAAAUAGUAACAUUCUC
Podarcis raffonei (Aeolian wall lizard) is the source of this 992-nucleotide long non-coding RNA. RefSeq lists it as uncharacterized. NCBI's taxonomy places the organism in Eukaryota, Metazoa, Chordata, Lepidosauria, Squamata, Lacertidae. The transcript has 2 exons. The record is from RefSeq and is a predicted model, not a curated record.